Molecule: ribosomal RNA, 513 nt
Filed under: uncultured bacterium
Lineage: Bacteria
Description: bacterial SSU rRNA
Rfam family: Bacterial small subunit ribosomal RNA
Source: RNAcentral
AUUCUGGCUCAGGAUGAACGCUAGCUACAGGCUUAACACAUGCAAGUCGAGGGGCAGCAUUGGGAUAGCUUGCUAUUCAGAUGGCGACCGGCGCACGGGUGAGUAACGCGUAUCCAACCUUCCUGCCAGUAGGGAACAGCCCGGCGAAAGUCGGAUUAAUGCCCUAUGUUCUUCAAUGCGGACAUCUAAGUUGAAGGAAAGAUUCAUCGCUGGCAGAUGGGGAUGCGUCCGAUUAGCUUGCCGGCGGGGUAACGGCCCACCGGGGCGACGAUCGGUAGGGGUUCUGAGAGGAAGGUCCCCCACACUGGUACUGAGACACGGACCAGACUCCUACGGGAGGCAGCAGUGAGGAAUAUUGGUCAAUGGGCGUAAGCCUGAACCAGCCAAGUAGCGUGCAGGAAUGACGGCCCUACGGGUUGUAAACUGCUUUUAUGCGGGGAUAAAGUGCGGCACGUGUGCCGCUUUGCAGGUACCGCAUGAAUAAGGACCGGCUAAUUCCGUGCCAGCAGCUGC